Helianthus annuus (common sunflower) is the source of this 2679-nucleotide long non-coding RNA. RefSeq lists it as uncharacterized. NCBI's taxonomy places the organism in Eukaryota, Viridiplantae, Streptophyta, Magnoliopsida, Asterales, Asteraceae. The transcript is spliced from 7 exons. The record is from RefSeq and is a predicted model, not a curated record.
UGUAAUCCCUCUUAUCACUUUGGUUGUAACGCUGAGAAUUGAAGUUUUUCUUUUCCCUUUCCAAAACCCUAAGUUCAACCAUGGCCGCACACCUCUUUCCCCAUCGUUUAAUUUCCUUUUCAUUCUUCAUGUUUACAUCUUCUCUUUGAACAACCCUAACGGAGACUCUCCUAAUCCAGCAGAUCUAUUUUCAUCUGAUAUGUUUUUGACGGGUUAGGGUUUUUCAAUUCCCAUCAGUAGAGAAGAAGAUGAAGGGUUUUGUUUGUUCAGAAAGUUGUUCUGAUAACUGGUCACACAGUUGCUUUCUGUUCUUUCACUGGUCAAUAAAGGUAUGUCUCGGUUAUUUUCUUCAUUUUUUUCGGGAACAGGGGUUUUUUGCUUCCUUACUUUUGUCAAUUUCUAUGUGUUUUUUUUGGUUUCAUCAUGAUUUUUAAUGUUAGUUAUCAGUUAAGGUUUUACAUGAUUUAAAAGCUGACUGUGAUAACCGUUACUUGAGUGCUAUUUUGAUCUUUAUGUAUUUAACACAAGUUGUUUGCAUUAGGGUUGUCUUUGGCUAUAUCUAUGGUUAGAUGAUAGCAGUUUGGUACAAUUUCUCUGAAACAUAUUUGUUGCAGGUUAGGAAUGUAUAACCUUCUUUUAUGUUUUUUUCAAGUUUAUAAAAUAGAAGUUAAACAAAAGGCUCUUCCUUUGUCUCCAUAUUUUUUUAAUCAUUAUUGCGGCUAUUCAUGUAAAAAUAGUUAAUUGUCUUUGAAGGGUUAAAGCGUAUAUUGACGGAUAUUAGUUAAGUAGCCGAAUGUCCCGUUUAGGUGACUUCCAUGGCAACCGUAAGUAUGCAUCUUGGCAGGGCAACCCGGAUGGUCAUGUGGUUUCACAUGGCAACCGUAAGUACGCAGCCAUGGCGGAUUUAUCCACUCUGUUUGAUUGUUUACAAAUCGGAGCCUCAUAAUCGUUUUAUAACAUCGACAACAGUACUGAUUUGGAGUUUAUAGCAGCCGGAAGAGUUAAUGGAAGAUUUCAUACGACAUAUCUCAAAAAUUAAUUAACAACCUUGAGGAGAAGAAACCAAAGUUGAAGGAUGAACAUUUGUCACAUUUUAAGAGGAAUUGUUGAGGCACACAAUGAAGGGUAUGACUUUCAUAGUGUUUCCCGGUACAGAUAUGCUUCUUAAAACCUCUUCUCGAGAAUCAGUUUGCUGAUAAGAAUCAAAAUUCACUUCUGUGUCAAGUGACAAAGCUCUGGAGUGUAUCAUCAAGGAGAAUGACGAAAAUACCCUUUUUAAUGAGCAAACUCUUCAAAUGGUUGUGGUUUAAAAAAAUUUAUCAAGUUAUUUUUGUUCAAGAACUUAUCAUACUUCUCUUUAAUAAUUUUUAUUUUCCGGCAUUAACUUAUUUGUAGGUAAUCCCUUUUAAGGUAAGUUACAUUUUCGUAUAGUCAAUCAGCGCUGUAGUACAUUUGUGUUUGUUAUUAACCAAUUUGUUGCAUAUGUAAGUAUGUGUGUGUAGAUAUGCAGUGGUAACAGGGGCAAACAAAGGUAUAGGAUUUGAAUUUUGCAAGCAACUGGCUUCAAAUGGGUCAAAGUAGUGUUGACUGCAAGAGACGAAAAGAGAGGCAUUGAUGCCCUUGCCAAAUUCAAAGACACUCAUCUUUCCGAUCCCGCGAGUUUCGCGGGUGGCUUAACACAAAAAUAUAAUAUCUACUGGCAUUGAAGCCCAUGUAGAUCAUCAUUUUUGUUCUAGGCCUUUCCCAACUUAGGCUUCACGUUUAAGGGUCGCCAGAUAGAUACCUUCUGGACAAAAUAUUAAUAUGUCAGCAGCUCUUGAAGUAAUAUAGAAUGGGUCAUAAUUAUUGCAGAGUAGACCAAUGUGGCUCUUGAAGUAAUAUAGAAGAAUAAUAUGUCAGCAGCUCUUUGCCAUCAAGCUAUGACUAUCCUUGUAGAGGAAUAUAACGUCCAACCAUUGAAGUGUCCAGUUUCGAUUUGCGGUGAUAUUCUUGGUCAAUUUUACGUCUCAUUGAGCUGUUUCGGAUUGGUGGAAGUACUCCUGAUGCAAAUUAUCUCUUCAUGGGAGAAUACGUAGGGUAUUCUUGGACCAAUUACUGCGAUUUUUUUAUCACCGAGAGGUUUUUUUUUUUUUUGCAUUUUGAAUACCUAUUAGGUGACCUUCGACCCAUUUCCAAUAAACUUUUAGAGGCAAAAUAUAACCCGAAAUGACCUUUUUUAAUUUUUGAUGGGUCAAGAAUGCCACACCUAUUUGCUUUAACUGGGUGCUGCUUGUAGUUCUUCCUAUCAUUUUUAUUAUGUUCUAAUAAUAGUGUUUCUAUUAAAUUCUGGAUUUUUUGUGGUUUCUGUAUCAUUUUGUAAUAUUCACAUGUAGCUUGGAAGUUUUACAGGCCUCAGACUUAUCUGAUUUGGUUCUAUCCUGCAUAUAGAAGCUAUUGUUCAUGGUCUGGUGAACUAAGUUCCAGCUUUUCAAGAUGAAGUUCAUGAAACUUGGGUCAAAACCGGAUUUGUUUCAGUCCAAUGGCGAAAACACUCGGUCAAAGAACUCCACCACCCAAUCCUACCGGUGAUUACUUUGUAGCAAAGAGUAUUUGUCAAUUAGCAUGUGUAACGAAUAAAUUACUUUUUGUAUGAUUUAGUUAUGUGUUAAUCAUAAAUAGCUUUACUAUAUGAUUUAUUUC